CCUGAUCCCAUGCCGAACUCAGAAGUGAAACGCCGUAGCGCCGAUGGUAGUGUGGGGUCUCCCCAUGUGAGAGUAGGGAACUGCCAAGC
RNAcentral lists this ribosomal RNA (89 nucleotides) under Proteus mirabilis. The record is from RNAcentral. Lineage: Bacteria; Pseudomonadati; Pseudomonadota; Gammaproteobacteria; Enterobacterales; Morganellaceae.